GACGUAGGGUCCAAGCGUUGUCCGGAUUUACUGGGCGUAAAGAGCGCGUAGGCGGUCUGUUAAGUGAGAAGUGAAAUCUCCAGGGCUCAACCCGGAAACUGCUUUUCAUACUGGCAGACUUGAGGGAUGCAGAGGUGAAUGGAAUUCCUGGUGUAGCGGUGAAAUGCGUUGAUAUCAGGAGGAACACCCAUGGCGAAGGCAGUUCACUGGGCAUCAUCUGACGCUGAGGCGCGAAAGCGUGGGGAGCGAACAGG
This 254-nucleotide ribosomal RNA is filed under the name uncultured bacterium. RNAcentral describes it as "partial 16S ribosomal RNA". It matches the Rfam family "Bacterial small subunit ribosomal RNA", at positions 524 to 776 of the family's 1533-position model. The record is from RNAcentral.